GAUGAACGCUGGCGGCGUGCCUAAUACAUGCAAGUCGAGCGAACGGACGAGAAGCUUGCUUCUCUGAUGUUAGCGGCGGACGGGUGAGUGACACGUGGAUAACCUACCUAUAAGACUGGGAUAACUUCGGGAAACCGGAGCUAAUACCGGAUAAUAUUUUGAACCGCAUGGUUCAAAAGUGAAAGACGGUCUUGCUGUCACUUAUAGAUGGAUCCGCGCUGCAUUAGCUAGUUGGUAAGGUAACGGCUUACCAAGGCAACGAUGCAUAGCCGACCUGAGAGGGUGAUCGGCCACACUGGAACUGAGACACGGUCCAGACUCCUACGGGAGGCACCAGUAAAGAAUCUUCCUCAAUGGUCAAAAGCCUUACGCACCAACGCCCCGUGAGUGAUGAAGGUCUUCGGAUCGUAAAACUCUGUUAUUAGGGAAGAACAUAUGUGUAAGUAACUGUCCACAUCUUAACGGUACCUAAUCAGAAAGCCACGGCUAACUACGUG
Molecule: ribosomal RNA, 497 nt
Filed under: uncultured bacterium
Lineage: Bacteria
Description: partial 16S ribosomal RNA
Rfam family: Bacterial small subunit ribosomal RNA
Source: RNAcentral